This is a long non-coding RNA of Eptesicus fuscus (big brown bat), 470 nucleotides long. RefSeq lists it as uncharacterized. The record is from RefSeq and is a predicted model, not a curated record. The transcript is spliced from 3 exons. Lineage: Eukaryota; Metazoa; Chordata; Mammalia; Chiroptera; Vespertilionidae.
GUGGGAAUGUGGAAAGGUGGCUCCAGGGCCUGAGCAAAAAGGCGGCUCCAGUCAGAGCGAAGGCGGUGCCAGCAGCCAGGAGAGGAAGAGAGAGACAGAAACAUCAAUGAUGAGAGAGAAUCACUGAUCGGCUACCUCCUGCAUAACCCCCCACUGGAGAGGGAGCCCACAACCCAGGCAUGUGCCCUGACUGGGAAUCAAACCAUGACCGCAGCCACUGAGCUACGCCAGCCAGGCCCUAUUGCGGAAAGAGAUGGUGUGCAGCUGGAGAGAGAAAUGGUCCAUUCCUCCCUUGUUCCUCUCAUCACAACAUGCAAGUGGGUUUUUGGUGGCUGUUGGUCAACCAUGCUGUCUAAUUACUGAUCUGAAUGGUUCUGAAGAUUAAAAAAUAAAGUUCUUCGUUGAGUUUAAUGAAUUUGGAAGAUAUCCAACUGGCCAAGUUUUCCCUUUCUAACAUGAAUUAAGAGUCA